RNAcentral lists this ribosomal RNA (301 nucleotides) under uncultured bacterium. Its description in RNAcentral is "partial 16S ribosomal RNA". It matches the Rfam family "Bacterial small subunit ribosomal RNA", at positions 509 to 807 of the family's 1533-position model. The record is from RNAcentral.
CAGUCGCCGCGGUAAUACAGAGGGUGCAAGCGUUAAUCGGAAUUACUGGGCGUAAAGCGCGCGUAGGUGGUUUGUUAAGUUGAAUGUGAAAGCCCCGGGCUCAACCUGGGAACUGCAUCCAAAACUGGCAAGCUAGAGUACGGUAGAGGGUGGUGGAAUUUCCUGUGUAGCGGUGAAAUGCGUAGAUAUAGGAAGGAACACCAGUGGCGAAGGCGACCACCUGGACUGAUACUGACACUGAGGUGCGAAAGCGUGGGGAGCAAACAGGAUUAGAUACCCCCGUAGUCCCUGUCUCUUAUAC